This 253-nucleotide ribosomal RNA is filed under the name uncultured bacterium. Its description in RNAcentral is "partial 16S ribosomal RNA". It matches the Rfam family "Bacterial small subunit ribosomal RNA", at positions 524 to 776 of the family's 1533-position model. The record is from RNAcentral.
UACGUAGGGUGCAGGCGUUAAUCGGAAUUACUGGGCGUAAAGAGUGCGUAGGCGGUUCUUGAAGUCCGCUGUGAAAGCCCCGGGCUUAACCUGGGAAUGGCAGUGGAAACUGGGGGACUUGAAUUGAGCAGAGGGGGGUGGAAUGCCGCGUGUAGCAGUGAAAUGCGUAGAGAUGCGGAGGAACACCGAUGGCGAAGGCAGCCCCCUGGGCUUAAAUUGACGCUGAGGCACGAAAGCGUGGGGAGCAAACAGG